Ailuropoda melanoleuca (giant panda) is the source of this 430-nucleotide long non-coding RNA. RefSeq lists it as uncharacterized. The transcript has 4 exons. NCBI's taxonomy places the organism in Eukaryota, Metazoa, Chordata, Mammalia, Carnivora, Ursidae. The record is from RefSeq and is a predicted model, not a curated record.
UCCGGCGUCCUCCUUGUGGCGGUGGUUUUGGGUGUUGCUGGGUAUGUUCCGGCACCGUCAGCCGGGAUCGGGACUCUGGUGACGGGACCGAGAAGGCUUAGUAAGGAGAGGCGCUGUCCCCGCCGUACAGACGGGUCCAUGGCUGGCGAUGCCGCCCGGGCUGCCCGGGGCCGGGACAGGGACCGUCGGCCCGGGUGUCCGCUCCGCCCACCGAAUCCGAUGGCGGCCACUGCGCCCACGGACCCGGCUUAGUCUUGUCAACUCUCCAGCCACAUGACCCUUUCGAAGUAUGAAUCAGGGACAAGAUACCCCCUUUGCACACUUGCUUCAGAUGGGACCACAAAAUCUGCUGUUUCAGUGGGGAAUGACACUUGAUUUUAUUUAUUUAUUUGACAGAGAUAGAGACAGCUAGCAAGAGAGGGAACACAAG